Molecule: long non-coding RNA, 5905 nt
Filed under: Mytilus galloprovincialis (Mediterranean mussel)
Lineage: Eukaryota; Metazoa; Mollusca; Bivalvia; Mytilida; Mytilidae
Source: RNAcentral
CAGGGAGAAUAUAUAAUAAAAUAUUAUAUAAAUGUUAGUAUUAUACAAUUAGACAUAAUACAUAAAUUAAAUUAACAUCAAUAUACAUUGAUUCAGUCAUUAAUAAUGGAAAAAAUUGUCUGCUUACAAAUCGGGAAAAAUAACGGAUCUACACCGUAUCGUUUUGUAAUUAUUAUGUAUGUUUACUUUCUCACAGGUUACCUGUGUAUUGGAGUUACUUUCAUAUUCUUUUAUGUUUUGAAGGAUUUAUUUUGUCUAAGCUUAUUUGCUUGACUAUGCUAGUGUAAAACAUAACUAGGUAAGUUUAUAAAAUUAUUUUAAAUUCAAAUCAAAAGGUUAUUUGCUAUGCGGUUUAUUUUGGCCCUCGUGGUAAAUAUUUAUACAAGGCCAAGGGAAGUUAGCAUAUGUUUAUUUGUUAAAAACAAACUAUACCUUUACUUACAGGUUACAAUAUGCUGAUGUCUUUAAUAACAUAUUCCCGGUUUCUAUAUUUCUUAUCGAAUUUAAUCUUAUAAUGUCAUAUAUUUCCUUUUUGAAGAUUUUAAAGAUUUCUAUCUUUGUUUCUUUUUUGUUUGAAACAAAAUGUGCCUUAUAUAUGGAGAAGAAUAUAACUGUUAUCAGGGUGUUUAUAUCAAAAUAUUUUACAUCUGCUAUUUUAUAGCCAGUUAUUAAAUUUUCUAGCCUUAAAAUAUGUCUAUCUAUUUGAAGAUAAAGUAAUAACUUGUAUAUUUCUUGCCAGUAAGUAUUAUUAUAAGGGCAUGUAAUAAAAAAAUGUUUAUAAUUGUCAAUUUCUUUGCAAAAAUUGCAAGAAUUGUUUUCUAAUACUUUCCACUGUGCUAAUAAGUCGUUGCAUGGAAGAAUGAAGUUGAGUAAUUUCCAUUUAAACAUUUUAAAUUUGUUGUUUUCUAGGUAAUUAAAUAUAAAAUUAAGAGUGCUUUUAAAUUUCAUAUUUAAAUUUUCUUCAAAAAUUCUUUCCCACUUCAGAAUACCUACAGGUUUUUCUUGCUUAUAAGGGGCAAUUAGUAUUGAAUAUAUUUCUUUAUUACCCAUUUCUGGAUAGAUAUUAUGAUUGAGUAGUAUUUGCAGAUUUUUUGUUUUCUUUAUAUUUACUUUUGUUUUAAAUGAGCUUUCUUGCUUUAAAAUAUUCUGCCAAUGUUUUGGAAUAGCUUUCUUUAAUAAUGAUAAUUCUCUAAUCCAAUCCCGUUUAUCUUUUAAUUUAAGUAAUAUUUUAUUUUCUGAUAUAUGACCUCUUUCAUCAAGUAUGUCAUUUACAUACAGAAUAUUAUGUUCAAUCCAUUUAGUAAAUAAUAAGUGUUUUCCUUUUGUUUGUAUGUUAUGAUUGCCCCAUAAAAUCUGCUUUCUUAUGUCUAGAAACGAUUGUGGGAUCUUUGUCUGUCCUCCCUUAACAUUAAUCCAAGUUUUAAUCAAUUGCUGAUAGAACUCGGGAAGGGAUUUAAAUAUUUUUUUGUCUAACAUAUUAACAUUUUUAAUAUUCAUUCGAAAUAUCAAGAGGUUUUUACCAAAUUUGUUUAAGUAAGCUUGGGGUAUGAUUGACCAAUUAUCACCAGAAUUUUGUUUAAGUUUUAAAAUCCACCGUAAUUGAAGAGCUUUGAGAUAUAAGUCUAUGUCGAUCAUUUUUAACCCACCUUCUAGAUAGUUUUUACAAAGAGUUGCACGUUUAACUUUAUCUUUUUUCCCAUUCCAUAUGAAAUUAUAUACUAGAGUUUUAAACUUUUGUAUUAUUUCCUUUGAUAUGUACAUAUUUGAUGCGAUAUAAGUUAAAUUUGGAAGAAUUAGUGAUUUUACUACUAUUAUUUUACCUAUUAAUGUUAAAUUUCUUUUCAUCCAGUUUGAUAUAAUUUUUUCACAUUUUUUAAGCUGUUUAUCAGUGUUUAGUUUUUGACAGUCUUGAUUGUUAUAACCAAAGUAAAAGCCAAGACUUUUAAUAUUAUCUGUUUUCCAAUUUAUGUUUUCAAAUUUGUCUCUGCUAUGUUUAAGUUUUUCCCAACCAAAAUCCCUCUGUUUUAUUUCUGUUUAGUUGUAAUCCUGAUAAACUUCCAAAAGUUUCAAUUAUAUUCAUUGCUAAACUAACAUCUUUUGGUGAUUUAAGAAAUAGUGUUGUAUCAUCUGCAAGUUGACAUAUUUUAAGUGAGCAAUUUCUACCAUCUAGUUUCACCUCUAAACCUUUGAGAUUAUUAUCUUCUCUUAGUUUAAUUGCCAUAAUUUCAACUACUAAUACAAAGGCUAACGAAGAAAUUGGACAUCCUUGUCGAAUUCCACGAAAAAUGUUAAAACUGCUGGACACCCAACCAUUGUUGAGUAUACAACCUUUUAUGUCUGUGUACAUUGUUUGAAUCCAUCUUAUAAAACUACUUUUAAAGCCAAAUUUUACCAAGGUUUCUGACAUAAAGUUCCAUUCAAGGGAGUCAAAUGCCUUAGAGAAAUCAACAAAAAGUAUAGCACCAUCUACUUUAAAGUUCUCUGAGUAAUCAAUAAUAUCUUUUGCCUAAUAUUGAAGCCUAUGUAUCUAUUUUUUUAUAUAACCUUUUUGAUCAGUAUGAAUUAUUUUUGGUAAUACUUGUUUUAAUCUUUGAGCAAGUGCAUAAGCCAACAAUUUUACAUCAUAAUUUAACAGAGUUAUUGGACGAUAAUUAUUUAAAGAAAGUGGAUCUUCUUUUUUAUAUAUUAAUGAUAUUGCUCCAAUUUUUUGUGAAGUUGAUAAUUCUCCUUUUUUAUAGCAAAAAUUAAAUACUGAUACAAUUAAAUCUUUUAUUUUUUCCCAAAAUUUUCUGUAAAAUUCAACAUUAAGUCCAUCUAGACCUGGGGCUUUAUUUAGUUUCAUUUUGAAUAUUGCAUCUGUGCAUUCCUGCACUGUUAUUUUUCCUUCACAUAAAUCACUUUCACUAUCACUUAAUUUUGGACAUUUUUUAAUAUUGUUAAAGUACUUUUUAGUAUCUUCCACAUCAGGCUUAGUUGAGGAAUAUAAUGUUUUAUAAUAGUUAACUUCAAGGUUAAGUAUUUUUUCUUGAUCAGUAAUUAUAUUAUUGUUUACAUCAUACAAUCUAGUAAUGGUUUUUUUUGCACUGCCUGGCUUUUUCAAGACCUAAGAAGUAAGAAGUAUUUUUUCUCCUUCUUCAAUCCAUUUCACCCUUGAUCUUAUUUGAUUGCCUUUAAUUUUUUCAUUAUAUAGAUUUCCUAACUCUUGUUCUACUUUCUCUAUUUUUUCAAUCAGGGAGGUAUUUGUUUCAUAAUCAUUAACUCUGAUGUUAGUUGUAUGAAUUUCAUUAUUAAGUUGCUUAAGUUGAUUUUCUAACACAUUGAUUGAAUCUUUUUUGUUGAGGGCUUUUAAUUUACAGAAUUGAAUUGUACAAUCUCGAACCUCUAUUUUAAAAGUGUCCCAUAAAGUAGCUAGAUUUUUGAAUCAUUUGCUUUAAUUUUAUAGUUGUUAAUUAGAUUGUAUAUUAUUUUUAGGUAGAUUUCAUCGUUUAAAACGCUACUAUUUAAUUUCCAGUAUCCACGUCCUUUAUUAUUUCUUGAUAUUUGUAAUUUUAAAGAUACACUAUUAUGGUCAGUGUAUUGAAUAACAAUUGGUCUAAUAUCACAAGAGGAGCAAUUUUUUUUAAUUUCAGUACUAACAAGGAAGUAAUCAAUUCUAGUGGCUUCUGUUUUAUUUCUUUUACACCAUGUGAAGUGAGUUUUAUCUCUGUUUUUUUCACGCCAUAUAUCUGUUAAUUUUAAAGAUUUAAUUAAAGUUUUAAGUCCGCAGACUGGUUUAUCAAAUUUUAUUCUUUUAUUUUUAUUUUUAGUAUCUUUUUCAGAUAAAAUAUCGUUAAAGUCUCCUCCUAUUAUUAGUUGUCCAAGACUAUAUUUAUCUAUAAAAGUUUUAACCGUUUUAAAAAAAGUGUUUCUUAGCUUAGUAUUAUUUGGUGCAUAAACGUUUGCAAUUGUAAGUAUGCUUUCGUCAAUUUCUAUAUUUACCAGAAGAAGUCUUCCAUCUUUAUCUUUAUAAAAGUCAAUAAAUUUGUAGUUAAGCCUACUUUUUAACCAUAUAGAUACCCCUCUAGCAUUGCUCUGACCAUUACUGAAGAAUAAUUCACCUUCAAACUCUUUUUUUAAAGAUUCUUCUAAGUUGUCAGUAAAGUGUGUUUCUUGUAUUAGGAGAAUAUCACAUUUUUGUUGUUUUGUCCAUUCAAUUAGUCUUUUUCUUUUUUCAGAUUGCUGUAAUCCCUUAGCAUUAACUGUACAGAUGUGAAGUUUUUGAUCAGCCAUAAUUGUUAAUGUAAAAGGUAAGUUUAUGAUUGGGGAACCCCCAUCUAUUUAUAGUAUCAAUUAUCGAUUUUAUUCUUUCUGUUACCAGUUCACGAGUAUUUACUUUAUUCAACAGGUGAAUAAUUAUCGGCAGUUUUUGCUGUACUUUUAGAUAUUACAUUCUUUAUACUUUCUACAAAGUGCACAUUGUUUUACUGUAAGAAGUGAUCCUACAUAAAAACAUAUUAAAUAGUGAUAAAAUUUAAUCACAAUAAUUAGAUACACAGUAUCAUUAAUGUUUAACUUUACGGUAUUAUGUAAAAGAAUAUUACACAAUGUUGUUUUCAAAUUGACAAUACAUACAGUUUUUACACAUGAUGACCUCGCCUUACGGGUCAUUAUUUGGGUCAACAACGUGACUUUGUUUACAAACUGAGCUGUGACAAACAUAUACCACACACAGUUUGUGAAGACAAUAAUUGAGAAAUAAAUUUUACUCAAUACAAAAAUAAUAUAAAUAUUACAAUAAUUAAUGUAGAGAAAAAUAUUUACAUGAAUAUAUUAUACAAAAGAUAUAUUUACAUAGUUUACAGUAGAUAAAGAUAAUGAGUUCUUUAUGUAAAUAUGUACAUUUUUUUUAUCAGUACUAUAUGUGUUUCUUUUGUCAGGUCUUAUUCUGUAAUGUUUUAUUAUUCUCAUGCUUCUUUGCUUUUAAUUUGCUAAAUUGUUUUUUAUAGCUGUUGAAUGCUAAAAAAAUUAUUAUUUUUUCCAGGAGAUAUAUGUAAUGGUUUGCAUUAUGAAGUGGAUUAUAUCUGUUUACCAAUUUGGACUCAAAGCUUUGCACAUAAUCUAGAUACGAAGUAUGAGCAUAUAUGGAGCUAUAAGUGUGAAUCUGUAUGGGAACAUCUGUUGUCAAUUUACUUAUAAAUUUUUGUGUGCAAAAGUGUGUCUGUUGCAUAUUUGUGUACAGAAUUAAUAAAAGAUAUGCGUGUUCAUUUUGUGAUCUAAGAAGAAGAAUUUUGAGGCACAUCUGGAUUAAUUGGAACUGUGGUGAGAAAAGUGCGAACUUUAUAUAAAAUAUGCAAUUCACCAAAGAUAUAUAUUGUGAAAUAUGAGUGUACCUAUGACUGCAUGUAUAUCGAGUGGUACUAAAUUCAACUCUACUGUGAAUGAGUUUUGUUACACAUUUCAUCAUGAUUAUACACAAAAUAAAUAUCACUGAACAUGUAUUACAGUAUAAUAAACUAGUUUUACAUUUAUUUGUUUUCAUAUAAAUGUUCUGUAAACUGUUUGUUGGUACGUAUACAGUACUGAUAAAUGCCAUUUGGUUUCAGUGGUUGUUAUUAAGUUGCCAAAGUUUUUGACCGUUUGGCUGUGGUAUCACCUUCAUUGUCAUGCAAAACAUGGGUCGGGGUAACUGGAGACCGCUCCACGUUUCUGUUGUUUUUUUGUUUAGCCGGAGUUGAUACAGACUCCUGUUGCUCCGAUACAAAUGAGGUAAUUUGAGUUUGUGUUGUUUUUCUCUCUUUCUUUUUUUCUUUUUUUCUUUCUUUUUUCUGCCUCCAGAGAUGUUACUGAUUGGGACAUAUCAAUGUCUUCUUCAUAUACACUCGUUGAUUCAUGUUCGCUAUUUGUAGAUGGAUCAUCUGUGUGAUUU